Acanthosepion pharaonis is the source of this 99-nucleotide non-coding RNA. NCBI's taxonomy places the organism in Eukaryota, Metazoa, Mollusca, Cephalopoda, Sepiida, Sepiidae. The record is from the annotation of a GenBank genome assembly.
AUUGGAACACUGGUUUUCAUACGAUCACCAAAGUUAAGCCAUGUCAUGCCUGAUCAGCACCUAGAUGGGUGACUGAUUGGGAAAACCAGGUGCUGUAAG